AUUCAGCUGACGAGUCCAAGGUAGGACUAAACAUGCUUCCUGGAU
Schistosoma rodhaini is the source of this 45-nucleotide non-coding RNA. The record is from Rfam. Lineage: Eukaryota; Metazoa; Platyhelminthes; Trematoda; Strigeidida; Schistosomatidae.